GACGAACGCUGGCGGCGUGCUUAACACAUGCAAGUCGAACGGAAAGGCCCUGCUUUUGUAGGGUGCUCGAGUGGCGAACGGGUGAGUAACACGUGAGUAACCUGCCCUUGACUUUGGGAUAACUUCAGGAAACUGGGGCUAAUACCGGAUAGGAGCUCCUGCUGCAUGGUGGGGGUUGGAAAGUUUCGGCGGUUGGGGAUGGACUCGCGGCUUAUCAGCUUGUUGGUGGGGUAGUGGCUUACCAAGGCUUUGUCGGGUAGCCGGCCUGAGAGGGUGACCGGCCACAUUGGGACUGAAAUACGACCCAGACUCCUACAGGAGGCAGCAGUGGGGAAUAUUGCAGAAUGGGCGGAAGCCUGAUGCAGCAACGCCGCGUGCGGGAUGACGGCCUUCGGGUUGUAAGCCGCUUUCGCCUGUGACGAAGCGUGAGUGACGGUAAUGGGUAAAGAAGCACCGGCUAACUACGUG
RNAcentral lists this ribosomal RNA (468 nucleotides) under uncultured bacterium. Its description in RNAcentral is "partial 16S ribosomal RNA". It matches the Rfam family "Bacterial small subunit ribosomal RNA", at positions 28 to 507 of the family's 1533-position model. The record is from RNAcentral.